Molecule: ribosomal RNA, 508 nt
Filed under: uncultured bacterium
Lineage: Bacteria
Description: partial 16S ribosomal RNA
Rfam family: Bacterial small subunit ribosomal RNA
Source: RNAcentral
GAUGAACGCUAGCUACAGGCUUAACACAUGCAAGUCGAGGGGAAACGAUAGAGAAAGCUUGCUUUUUCUAGGCGUCGACCGGCGCGCGGGUGAGUAACGCGUAUCCAACCUGCCCAUCACUUGGGGAUAACCUUGCGAAAGUAAGACUAAUACCCAAUGACGUCUCUAGAAGACAUCUGAAGGAGAUUAAAGAUUUAUCGGUGAUGGAUGGGGAUGCGUCUGAUUAGCUUGUUGGCGGGGUAACGGCCCACCAAGGCGACGAUCAGUAGGGGUUAUGAGAGGAAGGUCCCCCACAUUGGAACUGAGACACGGUCCAAACUCCUACGGGAGGCAGCAGUGAGGAAUAGUGGUCAAUGGACGAGAGUCUUAACCAGCCAAGUAGCGUGCAGGAUGACGGCCCUAUGGGUUGUAAACUGCUUUUAUAAGGGAAUAAAGUGAGCCACGUGUGGCUUUUUGCAUGUACCUUAUGAAUAAGGACCGGCUAAUUCCGUGCCAGCCGCCGCGGUAA